CGAAUUGCGCCUGUGUCAUGACCUCAUCAUAAAGGGUAGAGAUGUGGUCCAGUUAGCACCGUUCGUUCCGUACUUUUAACUUAUCAUGAUAGACUGUGGAGGCGCGAACUGGGUCGCGCGCGGUCCUGUGGCGGGGCGCCGGAAGUUUACUAGCUCAGCGGGGGCUGAAGGUCUAAGGUCAGUGGGUCGGGGUGUCUCCUUGUCGAUUUGUUUAAUUCUCGCUGUGGCCUCGUUCAAUGUCGGUCGAAGUCGAACCUUCAAUAGGGGAAAUAUUCGUCAAGAACUGUCCCUCACCAUUUGCCAUAAUACGGCCUUCUUUACCACGAGACGCCGUGCCGGUCGAAGUUCCUGCAACUGUUCCUUCUCGGCUACUCACCGCCUCCGUUCGUCCGCGUCUCCUUCCUCUUCUUCUUCGGCCCGCGGCCCUUCUUCCUCUUGGGCAUGCGCAGCGCGCCCGAGCUGUUCAAGAGGUACCACGAGCGCCUCGAGCUCAGGGCCGCCCUCUUCCAGGACGCGGCGCAGCUGCCGCCGCUGGUGCAGUACCAGGCCAAGCACGUCAGGCUCUGGUUCCCGACCCACGGGUAGCAGCAGUUCGACGGGCGCCUUCUCGGGCGGCGGUUCCGGCUCGGUUUCUUCUUCACGUUCAAGUUCGACCGGCAGAGCAGGUGCGGAGGCGGGUGCGUCGGCGGCAGCGGCGCCUGCCUCAGGUGGUCGGGCUCUCCUCCUCUGCUGCGGCAGUACGUGCAGCGCGGACGCUGCCGCGGCCGCCAGCGACGUCGCGGCUGCUUCUUCUUCCGAAGCGGGCGGCCCUCCACCAGCACCCGCCUGUUCCGCUAAUCCGGCUCGGUCAUGACCGGCAAGCACCGCCACGACGAGAACGACUCGGACCAGCACAAGCCCUCCUACAAGCGGUAGACGACGUGGAGGUAGACCACCAUGGAGCACGGGUAGAACUUGCCGCUCCUACCUCCUGGCUCUAGGUACCCGUUCUGGCCGUCCGUAGAGCCGUUCUUCCGCUCGCUUCUUCUAGCCGCUCUUCUAAUGAACCCGCAGUAACGGAGGAAGUGUACCGUUCUUCCCGUCGAGACCGCUGGUACUCCACUAAAGCGGAUCUUCCAGUGUACCGUUCUUCUCGUCGAGGCCGCUGGUACUCCACUAAAGCGGGUCUUCUAGUGUACCGUUCUUUUCAUCAUCGAGGCCGCUGGUACUGCACUAAAGUGGAUCUUCGGUACGUGUACCCUUCUUUCCCAUUAAGCGUGAAUCUUCCAGCACAACAUUUAUCAGCAGUUUGCCCCACCGGUCUUUCUAGUUUAAAGUCCAAAAUAGAAAGGAUGGCAAGAGGCCAAAAACAACAAGAAAAAGAGUUUCCUUUUUUCUCGACUAACAUCUAAACAUUACCUUCACAGGUACAUGUGGUCUAGUCGGGGAAGUACACACCGAUGAGUUUGUUUCACAAGUCUUUUAAGCCCGUUGU
RNAcentral lists this ribosomal RNA (1474 nucleotides) under Triticum aestivum (bread wheat). RNAcentral describes it as "partial small subunit ribosomal RNA". The record is from RNAcentral. Lineage: Eukaryota; Viridiplantae; Streptophyta; Magnoliopsida; Poales; Poaceae.